AGUCACUGACAUUAGAUACCCGCGUAGUCCCAGCCGUAAACAAUGUGCGUUAGGUGUGUCGGUAACCACGCGUUACUGAUGCGCCGAAGAGAAAUCGCGAAACGCACCACCUGGGAAGUACGGUCGCAAGGCUGAAACUUAAAGGAAUUGGCGGGGAGCACCACAACAGGGUGGAGCCUGCGGUUUAAUUGGAUUCAACGCCGGACAUCUCACCGGAUAAGACAGCUGAAUGAUUGUCAAUCUGAAGGUUUUACAUGACUAGUCUG
This 266-nucleotide ribosomal RNA is filed under the name uncultured archaeon. Its description in RNAcentral is "partial 16S ribosomal RNA". It matches the Rfam family "Archaeal small subunit ribosomal RNA", at positions 716 to 982 of the family's 1478-position model. The record is from RNAcentral.